Molecule: ribosomal RNA, 460 nt
Filed under: uncultured bacterium
Lineage: Bacteria
Description: partial 16S ribosomal RNA
Rfam family: Bacterial small subunit ribosomal RNA
Source: RNAcentral
CCUACGGGUGGCAGCAGUGAGGAAUAUUGGUCAAUGGACGCAAGCCUGAACCAGCCAUGCCGCGUGCAGGAAGACGGCUCUAUGAGUUGUAAACUGCUUUUGUACGAGGGUAAACGCAGAUACUUGUAUCUGUCUGAAAGUCUCGUACGAAUAAGGAUCGGCUAACUCCGUGCCAGCAGCCGCGGUAAUACGGAGGAUUCAAGCGUUAUCCGGAUUUAUUGGGUUUAAAGGGUGCGUAGGCGGUCGGAUAAGUUAGAGGUGAAAUCCCGAGGCUCAACUUCGGAAUUGCCUUUGAUACUGUUCGGCUAGAGGGGAGGUGCGGGAGGCGGAAUGUAUGGUGUAGCGGUGAAAUGCUUAGAGAUCAUACAGAACACCGAUUGCGAAGGCAGAUUACCAAGCUACUUCUGACGUUGAGGCACGAAAGCGUGGGGAGCAAACAGGAUUAGAUACCCCUGUAGUC